Molecule: long non-coding RNA, 1574 nt
Filed under: Homo sapiens (human)
Lineage: Eukaryota; Metazoa; Chordata; Mammalia; Primates; Hominidae
Description: HSALNT0071182
Source: RNAcentral
GGAAGUUCGAGGUCAGGGGGACUUUUAUUUUAUAUGAGGUCCUUCCUGCUGCAACAUCCCAUGGCAGAAGGUAGAAAGGCAAGAGAGAAACCCGUGAGAAAGAAAGAAGGGAAGAGGGCCAGAACUCUUCCUUUUAUCAGGAACCCACUCCCAAGAGAGGAAAGAGCACUUGAUGAUGUCAUCAGCUGAGACAAUAGCAGAAAGGAGAGCACAUCAGUGGGCUUGAAGGUGGAGCACCGAUAGACUGCAUUUCAGCCUGCAUGAACUCUCUAAAAUAGAGAUCUGCUGUGCUUAAGAUCCUUCAAUGGUUUCUCCCAAGAUAUUGGGAUCUCUGAAGACAAGGACUGUGUCCCCAGAAACUCAUCGACUCUCUGGUGUCUCUGGGUCUACGCACAUGAUGUCUCCAAGGCCAGGUAUCAUUAUUUAUCUAAAUCUCCGGAGCCAUUGAGGACCAAGAUCAUACUUGCUGAAUAAAUGCACGGAGCAGGAUCAGAGGAUAGACACAGAAUGGGCCAAGAAGAGAAAUAUUAUUCCUCAUAAGAGCUUGCUUGAUUGCAACCACCAAGGACAUCCACAAACCAGGGCAAGAAGGACCAUCCGUAAUUCUUUCCCAUAAAUAGUGACAGGAAGAAAAUAAACGCCCUAUUCUUCAAUGAUUUGAACCACCUCUGGAGCACAAACUUUCUCUAAAUUCACAGGGCAAAUAUCCAUCAUGGGGCAGGUAUCUAUGCUGCCAUGGAAAGUAACAUAAAAUGUACUAAGUCAUCACAGGGAGUUUUAAUUUUGUUUUUAAGGUCAAUUGCCAUGCUGGGGUAAAAAGCAUUGAUCCUUGCCUUUUAUCACCGGAAAAAUUCUUCACCAGUACUUUGUGAAAAUCUCGCCUCAUCAGGGCUGCCAAGGUCAAUGCAACCUAAGUAACCAAGCUGGGAGAUGCUUGCCUAAUUAUUAAAUAUUUAGCAAACAGUUUGUGACUAUUUAACUGUUUGCACCUGGCACCCUCUUUUCACUACGUGAGGCCUCCUGGCACCCUGACCUCUUCCCCCACCCCUACCCACUGCCCAGGCCGCCAGCACCCCUGGGGGGCAAAUACCGGGACCCAAGGGCAUUUCAAAGAAACAGCAGAGGUCACAUUCCAUUUCCUUUUUAUUAAAAAACAUACUUAAAAUGGGGGAGGAGGGCACAGAUCUAAGGUAAAAUCUCUUGCAGUUUUUUCAAGUUCGCAUGCACCGUUGAAAGUUCAUUAGUUAGGGAUUUAAAAGCAAAAAUGUUUCACACAACCAAUUAAACGCCAAGCUUUACAAACGCCUUGGUCUUUGGUUUUGGGAAUCUGUAAAAGUCCGCCUCCCCCCACCCGAGUUUUGCCCCUUUUAGAGCCCCUUUGUUGAAUUACGUGACUUUUCCCGAAGUCAUCAAACUUUGAAUUGCGUCUCUAAUUUUUUUUUUCAGGGCAAAAGCAAAUCAAGAAAUUAAACUUAAAAGUAGGCGACUCGGAGAGAAGUGGGGGAAAGCUCGCCCCAAAGCCAAGUUCCGCAGGACUAAAGCCCUCUUUGCGCGCGCGGGGCGGGGGAUUGUCC